CCGGUUCCNGAAGAAUAAGGCACCGGCUAACUACGUGCCACGCAGCCGCGGUAAUACGUACAGGUGCAAGCGUUAAUCNAGAUAGUUACUGGGCGUAAACGCGUCGCAGGCGGUUNUGCAAAGACNGAUGUCGAAAUCCCCGGGCUNAACACUGUGGCACACUGCAUUUGUGACUGCANGGCUAGAGUGCGGNANAGGGGGAUGGAAUUCCNCGUGUAGCAGUGAAAUGCGUAGAUAUGCGGAGGAACACCGAUGGCGAAGGCAAUCCCCUGGACNUGNACUGACGCUCAUGCACGAAAGCGUGGGGAGCAAACAGGAUUAGAUACCCUGGUAGUCCACGCCCUAAACGAUGUCAACUGGUGUGUUGGGCAGUCAUUNCUCUCAGUAACGNAGCUAACGCGUGAANUUGACCNCCUGGAGAGUACGGNCGCAAGGUCUNAAACUCUGAUG
Molecule: ribosomal RNA, 450 nt
Filed under: uncultured bacterium
Lineage: Bacteria
Description: partial 16S ribosomal RNA
Rfam family: Bacterial small subunit ribosomal RNA
Source: RNAcentral